UUAACACGUGAGGAACCUGCCCCGAAGACUGGGAUAACACCGGGAAACCGGUGCUAAUACCGGAUGCCCUCAACGGACCGCAUGAUCUGUUGAGGAAAUGGAUUCCGCUUCGGGAGGGCCCCGCGGCCUAUCAGCUUGUUGGUGGGGUAACGGCCUACCAAGGCUCCGACGGGUAGCUGGUCUGAGAGGACGACCAGCCACACUGGGACUGAGACACGGCCCAGACUCCUACGGGAGGCAGCAGUGGGGAAUCUUGCGCAAUGGGCGAAAGCCUGACGCAGCAACGCCGCGUGGGGGACGAAGGCCUUCGGGUUGUAAACCCCUUUCAGCAGGGACGAACAUGACGGUACCUGCAGAAGAAGCCCCGGCCAACUACGUGCCAGCAGCCGCGGUAAUA
This 397-nucleotide ribosomal RNA is filed under the name uncultured Acidimicrobium sp. Its description in RNAcentral is "bacterial SSU rRNA". It matches the Rfam family "Bacterial small subunit ribosomal RNA", at positions 110 to 525 of the family's 1533-position model. The record is from RNAcentral. Lineage: Bacteria; Bacillati; Actinomycetota; Acidimicrobiia; Acidimicrobiales; Acidimicrobiaceae.